RNAcentral lists this ribosomal RNA (450 nucleotides) under uncultured bacterium. Its description in RNAcentral is "partial 16S ribosomal RNA". It matches the Rfam family "Bacterial small subunit ribosomal RNA", at positions 354 to 796 of the family's 1533-position model. The record is from RNAcentral.
GUGGGGAAUCUUCCGCAAUGGACGAAAGUCUGACGGAGCAACGCCGCGUGAGUGAUGAAGGUCUUCGGAUUGUAAAGCUCUGUUAAUCGGGACGAAAGAGCCUAGUGUGAAUAAUGCUAGGAAGUGACGGUACCGGAAUAGAAAGCCACGGCUAACUACGUGCCAGCAGCCGCGGUAAUACGUAGGUGGCAAGCGUUGACCGGAAUUAUUGGGCGUAAAGCGCGCGCAGGCGGAUCUGCCAGUCUGUCUUAAAAGUUCGGGGCUUAACCCCGUGAUGGGAUGGAAACUACAGAUCUAGAGUAUCGGAGAGGAAAGUGGAAUUCCUAGUGUAGCGGUGAAAUGCGUAGAUAUUAGGAAGAACACCAGUGGCGAAGGCGACUUUCUGGACGAAAACUGACGCUGAGGCGCGAAAGCCAGGGGAGCGAACGGGAUUAGGAACCCCGGUAGUCC